RNAcentral lists this ribosomal RNA (333 nucleotides) under uncultured eukaryote. RNAcentral's name for it is "bacterial SSU rRNA". It matches the Rfam family "Eukaryotic small subunit ribosomal RNA", at positions 617 to 958 of the family's 1831-position model. The record is from RNAcentral.
ACCACAGUGAGUUAAAAGCUCGUAGUCUAUCUUCUUAGAGUGCGGAGAGCUGGCACAGCCGUUCUCAGCAGUCUAAUCUGCUCGAAAGCCUUGCUCGACCUUCGCUGGCCGACAAGGUGUCUCGGGCUCUUUACUGAGAAAAAAUUAGAGUGUUCAACGCAGGCAAUCGCAGAGAAUACACAAGCUUGGAAUAAUAGAAUAGGACUAAAGUCUUUUUUGUUGGUUAUGAGGCUUUAGUAAUGGUUAAUAGGAACAGACGGGGGCUUUAGUAUUUAAUUGUCAGAGGUGAAAUUCUCGGAUUUAUUAAGGACUAACUAAUGCGAAAGCAUUUGC